UUUUCAGGUAGGAUAAUCUUUAACUGUUUCUGCUUUUAGAGGCAGAUUGGAACGUGAUAAUUGAAGUUUGCAUGAUUUGUGAUUAGCAUCUCUACAUAAUCAGGACUUAUGGCACACUGAUUGCUCCUAUUUGAU
This is a small nucleolar RNA of Mustela putorius furo (domestic ferret), 135 nucleotides long. Its record names the gene U8. It matches the Rfam family "U8 small nucleolar RNA". Rfam says of the family: U8 is a member of the C/D class of snoRNA which contain the C (UGAUGA) and D (CUGA) box motifs. U8 is the RNA component of a small complex (the U8 snoRNP) which is required for accumulation of mature large subunit ribosomal RNAs, 5.8S and 28S rRNAs. Lineage: Eukaryota; Metazoa; Chordata; Mammalia; Carnivora; Mustelidae. The record is from Ensembl.